AGAAUGCUGCUGCUCCAGGCUCAGCCAAGCCCAGGCACCAAUGAGGGUAGAGUGCAGCCUGGCUGCCUUGCCUUGCCACUGCAGUGGCGCCAGUGCACCUCCUUUUUGCUGUGACACCUUGGGAGUGGUAAAAGUCGCCCUAUGACAAAGUUAAGUGCGAGUACGAGUGGGUGGGGACAGUUCUGGGAUCAGGCUCCGGAAUGGAGAAGACAAAAUCUGAGCCGCCUCCUUUUCCUCCCCUAAUCUAACUGCCAAGAUAAUGGAGAGCUCAUGUGUAAAAGACUCUGAGGAAAGAGUACUGUAAUUUUCUUCAGAGUCAGGUGGUGGUAGUAGAUGAGGAAGCUGGGGAGAGAAAUAAACAAUUUGCUUUGUCUUCCGGGUUUUAGUGAUGAGAUCAGAAGUCUAGAUACCGGGUUCUAUUUCUUAAACGCAGUGCCCAUACAAAUGGACCUUGUAGCCCUCAGGUUAGGCUAGGUUAUACUGUGGUAACUGCUAAAACCUUAGUGAUUUACAACCACUUAACAUAGGUUUAGUUCUGGCUCUGCUCAUUCUGUUACUCAGAUACCAAAUCUGAUGAAUCUCACUAUUUUGAGGUCCUAUUGUGUCAUCAUGAGGCUUAAGGUUACCUCCUUCAGAAUGUAGAGCAAGCAGGAAGAAUUUGUCCCCCGAAGGGACAUGUGUUACUUGGUCAAAGCAAGUCAUAUAGCCACACUCAAGUUCAACGAAGUAGGGCCAGAUUCAGCCUAUACUCCUUCAGUUGCCAGUCUACACAUUACACAAAUAGACACCUGGGCACUGUGGCCUGUGCCUGUCAUCCCAGCUACUCAGGAAACAUUGCUUGAUGAGAAGAUAGCAAAGUCAAGACCAUCCUGGGCAGCAUGGCCAGACUCCAUCUCCAACAACAACAACAAAAGAACAAAAACGGCUGCAAGAGGGGACAGAGACUUGUCCUGUGUUGAUCGGUGUCUCCCAUCCACGCUGAUUCCUGCCAGAUCCCUGGCUGCUCCCUGACAGCGUUCAGCUUUGCUGCAAGGCACCCCAGCAACCACUGUUUCUUCUCCAUUCUUCAUCAGCUUGGCAGCCUCUGUGGCGGUCACUCAUUUCACUUGAAUUAGAGCUGCACAGAAAGAGGGGACUGUGACAAGGCUCCUGCUGACGUCAGUUUUUAAAGGCCACGACCCCUAUCUCUUGCUGUUAGGCCCUGGAGAUAUAACCGUGCUAUUUGGCUUCCUUCGUGGGCAGCUGAACUCUGUGGUGGUUGGAAAAAACCCCAUACUGAUGAAUUUCACCUUCAAUUCUUUGAGAUUCAGUCAUUUAUUUUGGCUUUGGAUACGUGUUUAUAAACAACUGACGAUGUUUUCCAAAUGAAUUCUCUUCCGUUUCUCGACCUGCUUUUUUGCAAGAUGGCUCAGGUUUUUGUGUCCAAGGGUGUGUCCUCUGCUGCCAUCUCGU
Heterocephalus glaber (naked mole-rat) is the source of this 1452-nucleotide long non-coding RNA. The record is from Ensembl. NCBI's taxonomy places the organism in Eukaryota, Metazoa, Chordata, Mammalia, Rodentia, Bathyergidae.